AUGUCGCUCCGGCGCCUCCUGGGCCUUUCCGCCGCCGUCUCCGGCCGCCUAAGCCGCUCCCUCUCCACCUCCACGGCUGCCUCCUCCCGCCCUCCCUGGAUCUUGGUCGACCAGCUGUCAGUGGCCGCCGGGUCGGCGCUGGGUGCGUCCGUGCGCAUCCUCGAGCCGCCGCGCUUCUCCACCAUCACCGUCCCGGCGCUCCUGGUCGACACCAGCGCCGGCCCCGACCCCGACAGCGACGCCACGCAACUCCUCGUCGGCCGCGUGUGCUCCGCCAGCGCCGACGGCCUCCUCCUUAUCAUCAUCUACGAUCUCCGCGCCACGGCUCCCAUCCUCGCCAAGCAGGGCGGCAAUCAUGUCCGCCAGCUGACCGGCCUCGUCCGCGGGCACACCCCGGACACCACGCGCUUCCUCUGCAACCCUGUCACCGGCCAACUGACCCGCCUCCCGGUCAUCAACGUAGGCCGGAGGCGGCUCGUGUGCGGCCCUCACAUGGGCGUCCUCACCCAAGCCGGUCGCGGGCACGGAGACGGAACUCCCGACAGGGUCGCCGUCGCCGAGCUGCAGGGGAACAGGAUGCUCCGCUUUCUCUCGGACACGGGCGAGUGGGACGUCGCGGUCACCACGCCCUGCCAACUCCCGGGCGUCCGGCGGUUUUACUCGGAGACGGGCAGGAGGUUUGACCAAGAGGCGUUCGCCUUCGGCGGCCGGCUGUGGUGGGCUGACCUGAGCUGGGGCGCCAUCUCGGCCGACCCGUUCAGCGACCGGCCGGAGCCCCGCUUCGUGGAGCUGCCGAGGGGCAGCGUGAUGCCUGCACGCCCAGGGCCGGCGCCAGGGUGGCUUGACCUGGAGGGUUUUGAGGCCCUGUCCAAAGACGCGCCGGGCAGGUACCGGCGCAUGGGGGUCAGCGAGGGAAGGUUGCGCUACGCCGAGGUGUGGAACCGGGAGCCGUUCGUGCUCAGCUCCUUCACGCUCGACGACGAGGGCAGCGGCUGGACGCUGGAGCACCGCGUGGUGCUCAGCCGGCUCUGGGCGGAUGGAGACUACCCAUGGCUGCCCUUGCCGGAGAAGACGACGCCACAAAUUGUCGCUCUUGAUCCACUGAACGGCAAUGUCAUCUACCUGGCGGUCGGCAUGCACCGCAUCAGCGUGGACAUGAGCAAGCAGGAAGUGAUUGGGAGCUUUCUGGACAGAGGAGCCGGGUGCAUACCAUGCGUGCUUCCACCGUGGCUUGAAUCCAGCCGGACCUCUGCCGCAGGCAAGAAGGACGACGCAGAAAGCAAGACUUUGGCAGAUGUCUAG
RNAcentral lists this ribosomal RNA (1302 nucleotides) under Triticum aestivum (bread wheat). RNAcentral describes it as "partial small subunit ribosomal RNA". The record is from RNAcentral. Lineage: Eukaryota; Viridiplantae; Streptophyta; Magnoliopsida; Poales; Poaceae.